RNAcentral lists this ribosomal RNA (372 nucleotides) under uncultured Streptococcus sp. RNAcentral describes it as "bacterial SSU rRNA". It matches the Rfam family "Bacterial small subunit ribosomal RNA", at positions 1009 to 1381 of the family's 1533-position model. The record is from RNAcentral. Lineage: Bacteria; Bacillati; Bacillota; Bacilli; Lactobacillales; Streptococcaceae.
AGAAAGUUACUUCGGUACAUCGGUGACAGGUGGUGCAUGGUUGUCGUCAGCUCGUGUCGUGAGAUGUUGGGUUAAGUCCCGCAACGAGCGCAACCCCUAUUGUUAGUUGCCAUCAUUCAGUUGGGCACUCUAGCGAGACUGCCGGUAAUAAACCGGAGGAAGGUGGGGAUGACGUCAAAUCAUCAUGCCCCUUAUGACCUGGGCUACACACGUGCUACAAUGGUUGGUACAACGAGUUGCGAGUCGGUGACGGCGAGCUAAUCUCUUAAAGCCAAUCUCAGUUCGGAUUGUAGGCUGCAACUCGCCUACAUGAAGUCGGAAUCGCUAGUAAUCGCGGAUCAGCACGCCGCGGUGAAUACGUUCCCGGGCCUC